UUUUUUUAAUUGAGAGACAGUUCUGCGUUGUGGAUUACAACAGGGGAACUGCACGAGAUAAAUGCUAUUAUUUGGCCUCCUGGUUCAGAAAGUUAAUUGCUUUCAUUUCUGUUGCAUUUUUCAUCCCAAAGCACUAAACAUACAAGGAAGAGAUCUACUUUAUCCACCUCUCAUAUGGGUGAUGCGUGGCAGCCAUUAAACAACAGCAGCUCACCACAGAUAUGAUGUAAAGGUGUAGAUGUCAUAGUACAGGAGACAACUUAAUUCAUCAUUGACAGCAAUACAUUUUUGAAGAGGAGA
Molecule: non-coding RNA, 300 nt
Organism: Lepisosteus oculatus (spotted gar)
Lineage: Eukaryota; Metazoa; Chordata; Actinopteri; Semionotiformes; Lepisosteidae
Source: RefSeq, a predicted model, not a curated record